This 789-nucleotide long non-coding RNA is filed under the name Amborella trichopoda. Its description in RNAcentral is "long non-coding RNA (ATRI_LNC004450)". The record is from RNAcentral. Lineage: Eukaryota; Viridiplantae; Streptophyta; Magnoliopsida; Amborellales; Amborellaceae.
CUCUAUCCACCAAAAAUAAAAACAACAAACAUACAAGAACUUUUCAUUUAUCAGAUUAAUAGGGUUCUCCCCUGUAUAACCUGAUUUUGGCCAUGAAAAAAGCUUAUCAACAUCAAUAAACAAAUGAAACUAUAUAGAAGCAUUAUUUGCAAUGAAUUGUAAACCCAAAGCCACCAAAACUUGAGCUGAAAUAAGAGCUUUCAACUAAGUUCAUGGCAAUAUGUCAUACUGAGAACCAAUAUCUUUGUCUAAUAAGUAUCAGCCAUUAAGGAAAUAGCAACAUACACCCAUCCACAAAUUUAGAGAUAAAAGCCAAAGCUACUAGACUUGACAAGCUAUUAAAAUGAGCCAUAAUCCACUUGGGUCAUGUUGGUAUGAUGGAAUGUGUAUGGUGAUGGAGACAGAAUUCGAGAUGAUCCAAAUGCUUAGUCACAAUCUCUCUCCACCAUGAUCCAUGCUUCCUAAAUAUAUCAUAGAUAAUCAUAGUCCAUUAAGUAAUCAAUAAAACACAUGUGUAUAAAUAAGACGAGAAUGCACAAAAUGCUAAAACCGAGAACCGCUAAAAUAUUUCCACCAUCCUAAUUGGAUAUAACAUGAUCAAUAAGACUCCAAAUGCUUGUUUCUAUAUUCUAUGCCUUUAACCUUAUAAAUAACUUCUACUAAAAAUUUAUUGGAAUUUAUUGCAUAAAUAGGUCAAUUCCUACAGAUCAGAGUUUAAAAAAUCUCAUGAAUCCGUCUUAGAAUUCCGAGUUACUGGAUGAACUGCGUCUUAUCAGUGUCCAAACCAAG